AACCCACUCCAGUAUUCUUGCCUGGAGAAUCCCAUGGAUGAAGGAGCCUGGUGGGCUACAGUCCACGGGGUCGCAAAGAGUCAGACAUGACUGAACGACUUCACUUCCCAUGUGUAAAAUGGGGUUGACACCCUCUCCCUCCCAGAGCCUUUGUGAAGAAUGAAGGAGAUGAUCUCGGGGAGAGACAAGGAAACUCCCAGACGGACUUGGAGGGAAUGGUGCUGAGUCUGUGCGAGUUCCUAUGCUUAGCCUCACUUCCAUUCCAAGAGCUUCCUUGAGGGAACUGGAGUUAAAUGGUUUGGCAUUUUUAAAUGGCUGACCCGUCAAACAAAGUGACAGGCGCUCUAAGUGGAAGCGGAGGUGUGGGGGGAGGCAGUGGCUGCCAGGUUUCUUGCUCUGAGAGCCCUUCCUUCACCCGUCUCACCUUAAAGAAAGAAUCUCCGGGCUGUCUGUCCCUUCUUCCCACCUCAACCUCCCCUCAGCCAGAGACCUGUGUCCCCACUGAAGGGCAGGAGUCAUCCAUGCCUGGAGGAAAAUUUUCUCCUAUCAGUCCUGAUGGAAGUCAAGGCUAAAGCCCCCAUGAGAGAAAGGCUGAGGCUGGGCAGCAAGGCAGAGGGACCCGAAAAUAUAAAUCAAUAUGUGACUUUAAUAUAUGUGCUCUCGGUGUCUGUGUGUGCUGGGGGAUUAUUAGUAACCUUGAUUCCAGCUCAGUGUCCAUGUGAGGCGGGGAGACGCACGGCCCCCAGGGAGGAGAAGAGAAAUUAGGAAGCCAAAUUCUUCUCCUGAUUGACACCUGGGUAAACAUUAUCCCCGGCAGAAGGAGAAGAAAAAAAGAUCAAUGCUGGGUAUUUUUAUCACGUUCCAGGACGGACAGGGAGGGAAAUUAAAGAAACAGUCCCCUAGCCUCAUUGAAUGUGCUCAUCUCCAAGGAGGAAGCAAAAAGGGUGGAAGCCAGGUGGGGAGGGCGAGGGGAACUGACAGUGGGUGCAUCCCAGGGGGCGUGGCCAUUGCUUCUCUCACCCUGGGGCACUUAUGUGAGUGGCAGCAGGUACAAAGGAGUCAGCCCGUUAAUGCCAGGGCAAAGGCAUCAGCUUUGAUGGGGGAAUCAUAGGCCAUGAAGUCUAACAUGAGAUCAGACUCUGGCUUCAACGGAGGGCCAAGAGGCAUUAGUCUUAAUGGGGUUGUUGGGGAUAUUUCUAGCAGGAGCUUUCCAGAGCAUGGAGGGGGAGAGUGGCUUCAGUGGGGGCUGGGGGGAGUGAGUGGCCCAGAAGUGGUCAGCACCAACAGGGAGAGAAAGAGGCAUCUCUCUGGUUGUUGUUCAGUUGCUCAGUCCUGUCCGACUCUUUGCGACCCCAUGGACUGCAGCACACUAGGCUUCCCUGCCCUUCAUCAUCUCCUGGAGUUUACUCAAGCUCAUGUCCAUUGAGUCGGUGAUGCCAUCCAACCAACUCAACCUUUGUCAUCCCCUUCUCCUCCUGCCUUCAGUCUUUCCCAGCAUCAGAGUCUUUUCCAAUGAGUCCAAUCUGGAUUGUCUUGGAAAGUGGGUCUCUGUUCUACAGACAGGAAAACCUGGCCUCCAUCCCUUUGUUUCUGGCCUCCACCUCCUCCUGGUUAUAUGACCUUGACUAAGUCAUUUGACCUC
Long non-coding RNA from Bubalus bubalis (water buffalo), 1642 nucleotides. RefSeq lists it as uncharacterized. The transcript is spliced from 2 exons. The record is from RefSeq and is a predicted model, not a curated record. Lineage: Eukaryota; Metazoa; Chordata; Mammalia; Artiodactyla; Bovidae.